UUGCCAUCAUUUCAGUUGGGCACUCAGCGAGACUGCCGGUAAUAAACCGGAGGAAGGUGGGGAUGACGUCAAAUCAUCAUGCCCCUUAUGACCUGGGCUACACACGUGCUACAAUGGUUGGUACGACGAGUUGCGAGUCGGUGACGGCGAGCUAAUCUCUUAAAGCCAAUCUCAGUUCGGAUUGUAGGCUGCAACUCGCCUACAUGAAGUCGGAAUCGCUUGUAAUCGCGGAUCAGCACGCCGCGGUGAAUACGUUCCCGGGCCUUGUACACACCGCCCGUCACACCACGAGAGUUUGUAACACCCGAAGUCGGUGAGGUAACCUUUUGGAGCCAGCCGCCUAAGGUGGGACAGAUGAUUGGGGUGAAGUCGUAACAAGGUAACCAAGGGCGAAUUCCAG
RNAcentral lists this ribosomal RNA (400 nucleotides) under uncultured Streptococcus sp. Its description in RNAcentral is "bacterial SSU rRNA". It matches the Rfam family "Bacterial small subunit ribosomal RNA", at positions 1115 to 1516 of the family's 1533-position model. The record is from RNAcentral. Lineage: Bacteria; Bacillati; Bacillota; Bacilli; Lactobacillales; Streptococcaceae.